Molecule: ribosomal RNA, 693 nt
Filed under: Tephritis leavittensis
Lineage: Eukaryota; Metazoa; Arthropoda; Insecta; Diptera; Tephritidae
Description: partial large subunit ribosomal RNA
Rfam family: Eukaryotic large subunit ribosomal RNA
Source: RNAcentral
CUAGUAGCUGGUUCCCUCCGAAGUUUCCCUCAGGAUAGCUGGUGCAUUAUAAUAUUAUGUUAAAUAAUCUUAUCUGGUAAAGCGAAUGAUUAUAGGCCUUAGGGUCGAAACGACCUUAACCUAUUCUCAAACUUUAAAUGGGUAAGAACCUCACCUUUCUUGAUAUGAAGGUUGAGGUUAUGAUAUAAUGUGCCCAGUGGGCCACUUUUGGUAAGCAGAACUGGCGCUGUGGGAUGAACCAAACGUAAUGUUACGGUGCCUAAAUUAACAACUCAUGCAGAUACCAUGAAAGGCGUUGGUUGCUUAAAACAGCAGGACGGUGGACAUGGAAGUCGUAAUCCGCUAAGGAGUGUGUAACAACUCACCUGCCGAAGCAACUAGCCCUUAAAAUGGAUGGCGCUUAAGUUGUAUACCUAUACAUUACCGCUAAAGUAGAUGAUUUAUAAUACAAUUUCGAUUGAAUUAUUAAUUUUGAAACUUUAGUGAGUAGGAGGGUACAAUGGUGUGCUUAGAAGUGUUUGGCGUAAGCCUGCAUGGAGCCGCUAUUGGUACAGAUCUUGGUGGUAGUAGCAAAUAAUCGAAUGAGACCUUGGAGGACUGAAGUGGAGAAGGGUUUCGUGUGAACAGUGGUUGAUCACGAGUUAGUCGGUCCUAAGUUCAAGGCGAAAGCCGAAAAUUUUCAAGUUUUAAUGC